CGGGACAACAUCUUCCGAAAUGUGGAGGUUCUGAUUUAUGUCUUUGAUGUGGAGAGCCGCGAACUGGAAAAGGACAUGCACUAUUACCAAUCAUGCCUGGAGGCCAUUCUGCAGAAUUCUCCAGAUGCCAAAAUAUUUUGCUUGGUACACAAAAUGGAUCUGGUACAGGAGGAUCAACGGGACCUGAUUUUUAAAGAGCGAGAAGAAGAUUUGAGGCGUUUGUCUCGCCCAUUGGAAUGUUCUUGUUUCCGAACAUCUAUCUGGGAUGAAACCCUCUAUAAGGUGUGUAUGUCUCCCUGAGUUCCCUCAUUUUAAGAGCAUGAAAAAAAACCUAGAAGGAUAUUAACAAAACUAAAAGAUUUUAAACUAUUUCAUAGCCAUCUAGAUUUGUUGUACUAAAAAGAAAAAUAACCUGCAACAAAUUGUUUGAAGAAUAUCAAACUUAACAUUAAGAGACUUGGGUUUUGAUCUUAGAUUGGGUUGACAUAGCUACCAAGUCACACUGAAUUAGCCAGUUUGGUCAUGAUUAAUUUGAUACUGGUCUUUGUAAUAGCAGAGGUUUCACUUACUGGCCAUCAUCCAUUUUGACCUGUUGUGGUCUCAAUGCUGAUUGGAGUUGUAUCUAGUAUUCAGGUACUUCUACAUGAUAUAAACUAGUCUGCCUAAGUUUGGAUGGCAAUAAAAUGAAAAUAUUUAGGGAAGAGAUUGG
RNAcentral lists this small RNA (709 nucleotides) under Pan troglodytes (chimpanzee). Its description in RNAcentral is "processed transcript". The record is from RNAcentral. Lineage: Eukaryota; Metazoa; Chordata; Mammalia; Primates; Hominidae.